Molecule: ribosomal RNA, 152 nt
Filed under: uncultured Campylobacterota bacterium
Lineage: Bacteria; Pseudomonadati; Campylobacterota
Description: uncultured Epsilonproteobacteria bacterium partial 16S ribosomal RNA
Rfam family: Bacterial small subunit ribosomal RNA
Source: RNAcentral
UGGGGAAUAUUGCGCAAUGGACGAAGUCUGACCCAGCAACGCCGCGUGGAGGACGACGCCCUUCGGGGUGUAAACUCCUUUUGCAGGGGAAGAUGAUGACGGUACCCUGCGAAUAAGCUCCGGCUAACUCCGUGCCAGCAGCCGCGGUAAUA